UAGGGAAUCUUCCACAAUGGGCGCAAGCCUGAUGGAGCAACACCGCGUGAGUGAAGAAGGGUUUCGGCUCGUAAAGCUCUGUUGUUAAAGAAGAACACGUAUGAGAGUAACUGUUCAUACGUUGACGGUAUUUAACCAGAAAGUCGCGGCUAACUACGUGACAG
RNAcentral lists this ribosomal RNA (164 nucleotides) under uncultured bacterium. Its description in RNAcentral is "partial 16S rRNA". It matches the Rfam family "Bacterial small subunit ribosomal RNA", at positions 355 to 511 of the family's 1533-position model. The record is from RNAcentral.